AAUGGUUUCUGUUUAGUUUGGAUCUCCAUUAUUGUAUGCUAUUAGUGAUGAUACUGGUCUAAUUGCACGCAAUAGUGGGGUUCUUAACAAAUACCCAUCCU
Saccoglossus kowalevskii is the source of this 101-nucleotide non-coding RNA. The record is from RefSeq and is marked provisional. NCBI's taxonomy places the organism in Eukaryota, Metazoa, Hemichordata, Enteropneusta, Harrimaniidae.